UGUUGGUUGGUUGGUUGGUGGGCAGGCGGGCGGGCAGGCGGGCGGGCGGUCGGUCGGUCGGUCGGUCGGUUGGUUU
Molecule: microRNA precursor, 76 nt
Filed under: Procavia capensis (Cape rock hyrax)
Lineage: Eukaryota; Metazoa; Chordata; Mammalia; Hyracoidea; Procaviidae
Description: miRNA (ENSPCAG00000019424.1)
Source: RNAcentral